GUCGAAGUGGCGGAAUUGGUAGACGCGCUAGGUUGAGGGCCUAGUGUCCCUAAUACGGACGUGAGGGUUCGAGUCCCUCCUUCGACA
This 87-nucleotide transfer RNA is filed under the name Rubrobacter radiotolerans. Its description in RNAcentral is "tRNA-Leu (GAG) (tRNA-Leu-GAG-1-1)". It matches the Rfam family "tRNA". Rfam says of the family: Transfer RNA (tRNA) molecules are approximately 80 nucleotides in length. Their secondary structure includes four short double-helical elements and three loops (D, anti-codon, and T loops). Further hydrogen bonds mediate the characteristic L-shaped molecular structure. tRNAs have two regions of fundamental functional importance: the anti-codon, which is responsible for specific mRNA codon recognition, and the 3' end, to which the tRNAs corresponding amino acid is attached (by aminoacyl-tRNA synthetases). tRNAs cope with the degeneracy of the genetic code in two manners: having more than one tRNA (with a specific anti-codon) for a particular amino acid; and 'wobble' base-pairing, i.e. permitting non-standard base-pairing at the 3rd anti-codon position. RNAcentral also lists the same sequence under 1 other name. The record is from Rfam by way of RNAcentral. Lineage: Bacteria; Bacillati; Actinomycetota; Rubrobacteria; Rubrobacterales; Rubrobacteraceae.